This 414-nucleotide ribosomal RNA is filed under the name uncultured bacterium. RNAcentral's name for it is "bacterial SSU rRNA". It matches the Rfam family "Bacterial small subunit ribosomal RNA", at positions 29 to 429 of the family's 1533-position model. The record is from RNAcentral.
AACGAACGCUGGCGGCGUGCCUAACACAUGCAAGUCGUGCGAGAAAGUUCCUUCGGGAGCGAGUAAAGCGGCGCACGGGUGAGUAACACGUAGGUAACCUGCCCCCCAGUCUGGAACAACUAGAGGAAACUCUAGCUAAUGCCGGAUAAGACCACGGCCCCCUCGGGGGCUGCGGCCAAAGAUGGCCUCUACUUGUACGCUAUCGCUGAGGGAUGGGCCUGCGGGCCAUUAGCUUGUUGGUGAGGUAACGGCUCACCAAGGCUGUGAUGGCUAGCUGGUCUGAGAGGAUGACCAGCCACACUGGGACUGAGACACGGCCCAGACUCCUACGGGAGGCAGCAGUGGGGAAUAUUGCGCAAUGGGCGAAAGCCUGACGCAGCGACGCCGCGUGGGUGAUGAAGGCCUGGUCGUAAG